This 174-nucleotide ribosomal RNA is filed under the name uncultured bacterium. Its description in RNAcentral is "partial 16S ribosomal RNA". It matches the Rfam family "Bacterial small subunit ribosomal RNA", at positions 336 to 526 of the family's 1533-position model. The record is from RNAcentral.
CUCCUACGGGAGGCAGCAGUGGGGAAUUUUGCGCAAUGGGGGAAACCCUGACGCAGCAACGCCGCGUGGAGGAUGAAGUAUCUUGGUACGUAAACUCCUUUCGAUGGGGAAGAUAAUGACGGUACCCACUAGAAGAAGCCCGGCUAACUUCGUGCCGAGCAGCCGCGGUAAUAC